Molecule: long non-coding RNA, 312 nt
Organism: Mauremys reevesii (Reeves's turtle)
Lineage: Eukaryota; Metazoa; Chordata; Testudines; Geoemydidae
Exons: 3
Source: RefSeq, a predicted model, not a curated record
AUUGGGUCAGCAGAAAGGCCCAGGACCACAUGGGCCAUGGAGAAUGAAUUGGCCCCUAGAACAAGAGAGAGAACACUUUCAGAUGACGAAGGACUGUUGUUCAACAAAGCCACUGCUAACAGCUACCAAAAACUACAGAGUAAGCACAGUUAAAGAAGGGAAGAAGAGAUCCACCUUGCAGUUUAUCACUUGGCAAUGCUUGAAGAGACUCCGGAUUGCUCCUGUGUUGUCAUGCAUGACCAAGAGACCCCUUCAGAGGAAAGCCUAAUUAAAAGGAGAAAAGGACUGCCGGCUUUGUUUGUUUGUUUGGAA